GACCACGUGGCCUAAUGGAUAAGGCGUCUGACUCUGGAUCAGAAGAUUGAGGGUUGGAGUCCCUUUGUGGUUA
RNAcentral lists this transfer RNA (73 nucleotides) under Larimichthys crocea (large yellow croaker). It matches the Rfam family "tRNA". From Rfam's summary of the family: Transfer RNA (tRNA) molecules are approximately 80 nucleotides in length. Their secondary structure includes four short double-helical elements and three loops (D, anti-codon, and T loops). Lineage: Eukaryota; Metazoa; Chordata; Actinopteri; Sciaenidae. The record is from Rfam by way of RNAcentral.